This 92-nucleotide transfer RNA is filed under the name Caldinitratiruptor microaerophilus. Its description in RNAcentral is "tRNA-Ser". The record is from RNAcentral. Lineage: Bacteria; Bacillati; Bacillota; Clostridia; Eubacteriales; Symbiobacteriaceae.
UGGACGCUGGGGUAGGUGCCCACCUCGACCUGCUUGACGUAGGUGCGGGUGACGCCCAGCGGCACCUGGUGUUCGGACUUGCAGGCGAUCGU